RNAcentral lists this ribosomal RNA (1492 nucleotides) under Lactobacillus sp. NBRC 107273. Its description in RNAcentral is "bacterial SSU rRNA". It matches the Rfam family "Bacterial small subunit ribosomal RNA". The record is from RNAcentral. Lineage: Bacteria; Bacillati; Bacillota; Bacilli; Lactobacillales; Lactobacillaceae.
GACGAACGCUGGCGGCGUGCCUAAUACAUGCAAGUCGAACGAACUCUGGUAUUGAUUGGUGCUUGCAUCAUGAUUUACAUUUGAGUGAGUGGCGAACUGGUGAGUAACACGUGGGAAACCUGCCCAGAAGCGGGGGAUAACACCUGGAAACAGAUGCUAAUACCGCAUAACAACUUGGACCGCAUGGUCCGAGNUUGAAAGAUGGCUUCGGCUAUCACUUUUGGAUGGUCCCGCGGCGUAUUAGCUAGAUGGUGNGGUAACGGCUCACCAUGGCAAUGAUACGUAGCCGACCUGAGAGGGUAAUCGGCCACAUUGGGACUGAGACACGGCCCAAACUCCUACGGGAGGCAGCAGUAGGGAAUCUUCCACAAUGGACGAAAGUCUGAUGGAGCAACGCCGCGUGAGUGAAGAAGGGUUUCGGCUCGUAAAACUCUGUUGUUAAAGAAGAACAUAUCUGAGAGUAACUGUUCAGGUAUUGACGGUAUUUAACCAGAAAGNCACGGCUAACUACGUGCCAGCAGCCGCGGUAAUACGUAGGUGGCAAGCGUUGUCCGGAUUUAUUGGGCGUAAAGCGAGCGCAGGCGGUUUUUUAAGUCUGAUGUGAAAGCCUUCGGCUCAACCGAAGAAGUGCAUCGGAAACUGGGAAACUUGAGUGCAGAAGAGGACAGUGGAACUCCAUGUGUAGCGGUGAAAUGCGUAGAUAUAUGGAAGAACACCAGUGGCGAAGGCGGCUGUCUGGUCUGUAACUGACGCUGAGGCUCGAAAGUAUGGGUAGCAAACAGGAUUAGAUACCCUGGUAGUCCAUACCGUAAACGAUGAAUGCUAAGUGUUGGAGGGUUUCCGCCCUUCAGUGCUGCAGCUAACGCAUUAAGCAUUCCGCCUGGGGAGUACGGCCGCAAGGCUGAAACUCAAAGGAAUUGACGGGGGCCCGCACAAGCGGUGGAGCAUGUGGUUUAAUUCGAAGCUACGCGAAGAACCUUACCAGGUCUUGACAUACUAUGCAAAUCUAAGAGAUUAGACGUUCCCUUCGGGGACAUGGAUACAGGUGGUGCAUGGUUGUCGUCAGCUCGUGUCGUGAGAUGUUGGGUUAAGUCCCGCAACGAGCGCAACCCUUAUUAUCAGUUGCCAGCAUUAAGUUGGGCACUCUGGUGAGACUGCCGGUGACAAACCGGAGGAAGGUGGGGAUGACGUCAAAUCAUCAUGCCCCUUAUGACCUGGGCUACACACGUGCUACAAUGGAUGGUACAACGAGUUGCGAACUCGCGAGAGUAAGCUAAUCUCUUAAAGCCAUUCUCAGUUCGGAUUGUAGGCUGCAACUCGCCUACAUGAAGUCGGAAUCGCUAGUAAUCGCGGAUCAGCAUGCCGCGGUGAAUACGUUCCCGGGCCUUGUACACACCGCCCGUCACACCAUGAGAGUUUGUAACACCCAAAGUCGGUGGGGUAACCUUUUAGGAACCAGCCGCCUAAGGUGGGACAGAUGAUUAGGGUGAAG